GAUUCCAUUGAAUUUGAACUCUCUAUUUUGUUGCAACCUUGGUUAUUGCUAUGAGAAUUAUUGAUGUCGCUGUUACUGGAGUAUCAUUGGAAUUGACGUUGCUAUUACCCCGGUUAAUGCUGCCCCUAGGAUGUAUGCCCUGGUCUUUGAUCUGUGUUCUUCUGAGUACCAGAGCUGCUGCUCCAUUCCCGUAUUUCUUUUGGUUCCUAUUAAAUUUCCUUCCAAAGUUGCUGUUGCUGUUCCCGUGAGGGUUAUUGCUAUCACUGUCGCCAUGAAUUGAAAGAAAAGGAAAUUAUCACGAUUAGUUACGUGGACUCAGCUAACUGAGCUUUACCUUUUCAGGAACCGGAUGAAGAAGCAUUAAGAAGAAUUAUAUUG
Molecule: non-coding RNA, 378 nt
Organism: Arachis ipaensis
Lineage: Eukaryota; Viridiplantae; Streptophyta; Magnoliopsida; Fabales; Fabaceae
Source: RefSeq, a predicted model, not a curated record